UCCCUGGAGCACUAGUGGUUAGGCCACGGCGCUUUCACUGCUGCGGUCUGGGUUCAAUUCCCAGCCAGGGUA
This 72-nucleotide transfer RNA is filed under the name Pangasianodon hypophthalmus (striped catfish). It matches the Rfam family "tRNA". From Rfam's summary of the family: Transfer RNA (tRNA) molecules are approximately 80 nucleotides in length. Their secondary structure includes four short double-helical elements and three loops (D, anti-codon, and T loops). The record is from Rfam by way of RNAcentral. Lineage: Eukaryota; Metazoa; Chordata; Actinopteri; Siluriformes; Pangasiidae.